Molecule: long non-coding RNA, 286 nt
Organism: Peromyscus californicus insignis
Lineage: Eukaryota; Metazoa; Chordata; Mammalia; Rodentia; Cricetidae
Exons: 3
Source: RefSeq, a predicted model, not a curated record
CAUGACUUGAAAGUUGUGGAGAAUGUCAUAACUAAGUCACUGUUGAUUAAAUCCAAUGAAGGCAGCUAUGGCUUUGGGCUGGAAGACAAAAAUAAAGUUCCAAUAAUAAAGUUAGUGGAAAAGGGGUCUAAUGCUGAGAUGGCUGGCAUGGAAGUUGGGAAGAAGAUUUUUGCUAUUAAUGGUGACCUGGUUUUUCUGAGACCUUUCCUGAAGUCGAUUGCUUCCUGAAAUCCUGCUUAAGCAGCAGAAAGCCUCUGAGAGUCCUCGUGAGCACAAAGCCAAGGGA